RNAcentral lists this long non-coding RNA (234 nucleotides) under Helianthus annuus (common sunflower). RNAcentral's name for it is "sRNA HanXRQr2_Chr03g0131521". The record is from RNAcentral. Lineage: Eukaryota; Viridiplantae; Streptophyta; Magnoliopsida; Asterales; Asteraceae.
GGCGUUCGGUGGAUGAGUAUGUGGGGAGUGUCACCGGUGGUAGACCUCUUGAUGUUGACGCAUCCAUUUUCCGGUAAUAACCGGUGCGAACAAGAGCAAGUUGUGUAAGUGUAUGAAUUGGAUUUCCGGUAAUAACCGGUGCGAACAAGAGCAGGUUGUCUAAGCGUAUGAAUUGGAUGCAUGACUGCAUGUGCAGUAUUCGAUUGUCGUGAAGAUGUUCAGGGACUCGUAUGA